UUAAAGUUUAAGGUUUAAAGCUUUGUUUAAAACACAGAAAGCUGCACCCGUGUCCCUGCAUGAUGAGACGCUUCCUGCUGCUCCUCUGAUGUCAUCGCYGCUGUCCCACUGAGGGAUUGUUGUACCCUCCCCGUGUCAUGUUCCUCCUCUCCCUCUCCACACCUCCCCUUCCUCGCGUUUGACUCCUCGCAGUGACAGUUUGAGCUGCCAGUCGCCGUCAGCCUGAAGGCUCUCAGCAGGACAUUCUGUUCUUUUUUUUUUUUUCCUUUUUGUCCACAGAAGUGCUGAUGAAAGGA
Molecule: long non-coding RNA, 296 nt
Organism: Austrofundulus limnaeus
Lineage: Eukaryota; Metazoa; Chordata; Actinopteri; Cyprinodontiformes; Rivulidae
Exons: 2
Source: RefSeq, a predicted model, not a curated record